CCUACGGGGUGCUGCAGUGGGGAAUAUUGCACAAUGGGCGAAACCCUGAUGCAGCGACGCCGCGUGAGUGAAGAAGUAAUUCGUUACGUAAAGCUCUAUCAGCAGGGAAGAAUAUGCCGGUACCUGAGUACGCAGCCCCGGUUAACUACGGGCCAGCAGCCGCGGUAGAACGUCGGGGCCAAGCGUUAUCCGGUAUUACUGGGUGUAAAGGGAGCGUAGACGGUGCGCCAAGACUGGAGUGAAAUGCCCCAGCUUAACUGUGGGACUGCUUUGGAAACUGGCGAACUAGAGUGCGUUAGGGGUAAGCGGAAGUCCAAGUGUAGCGGUGAAAUGCGUAGAGAUUAGGAGGAACACCGGUGGCGAAGGCGGCUUACUGGACCAUAACUGACGUUGAGGUUCGAAAGCGUGGGGAGCAAACAGGAUUAGAUACCCGAGUAGUC
This 440-nucleotide ribosomal RNA is filed under the name uncultured bacterium. RNAcentral's name for it is "partial 16S ribosomal RNA". It matches the Rfam family "Bacterial small subunit ribosomal RNA", at positions 338 to 795 of the family's 1533-position model. The record is from RNAcentral.